This 447-nucleotide ribosomal RNA is filed under the name uncultured bacterium. Its description in RNAcentral is "partial 16S ribosomal RNA". It matches the Rfam family "Bacterial small subunit ribosomal RNA", at positions 29 to 523 of the family's 1533-position model. The record is from RNAcentral.
AGCGAACGCUGGCGGCAGGCUUAACACAUGCAAGUCGAACGCCCCGCAAGGGGAGUGGCAGACGGGUGAGUAACACGUGGGAACGUACCCUUUGGUUCGGAAUCACUUGGGGAAACUCAAGCUAAUACCGGAUUAGCCCUUAUGGGGGAAGGUUUACUGCCGAAGGAUCGGCCCGCGUCUGAUUAGCUAGUUGGUGAGGUAAUGGCUCACCAAGGCGACGACCAGUAGCUGGUCUGAGAGGAUGAUCAGCCACACUGGGGCUGAGACACGGCCCAGACUCCUACGGGGGGCAGCAGUGGGGAAUAUGGGACGCUGGGGGCCACCCUGAUCCAGCCAUGCCGCGUGAGUGAUGAAGGCCUUAGGGUUGUAAAGCUCUUUUACGCGGGACGAUAAUGACUGUACCGGGAGAAUAAGCCCCGGCUAACUUCGUGCCAGCCGCCGCAGUAA